UGAAGAGUUUGAUCAUGGCUCAGAUUGAACGCUGGCGGCAGGCCUAACACAUGCAAGUCGAACGGUAACAGGAAGCAGCUUGCUGCUUCGCUGACGAGUGGCGGACGGGUGAGUAAUGUCUGGGAAACUGCCUGAUGGAGGGGGAUAACUACUGGAAACGGUGGCUAAUACCGCAUAACGUCGCAAGACCAAAGAGGGGGACCUUCGGGCCUCUUGCCAUCAGAUGUGCCCAGAUGGGAUUAGCU
This 245-nucleotide ribosomal RNA is filed under the name Salmonella enterica. Its description in RNAcentral is "partial 16S ribosomal RNA". It matches the Rfam family "Bacterial small subunit ribosomal RNA", at positions 1 to 246 of the family's 1533-position model. RNAcentral also lists the same sequence under 1 other name. Lineage: Bacteria; Pseudomonadati; Pseudomonadota; Gammaproteobacteria; Enterobacterales; Enterobacteriaceae. The record is from RNAcentral.